Molecule: small RNA, 28 nt
Filed under: Bombyx mori (domestic silkworm)
Lineage: Eukaryota; Metazoa; Arthropoda; Insecta; Lepidoptera; Bombycidae
Description: ovarian small RNA-31214
Source: RNAcentral
UGAAUUAAAAUACUUUUUAAUUUGGCGC